Molecule: transfer RNA, 63 nt
Filed under: Prosaspicera validispina
Lineage: Eukaryota; Metazoa; Arthropoda; Insecta; Hymenoptera; Figitidae
Description: tRNA-Ser
Source: RNAcentral
GAAAUAAUAAAAAUAUUAAGCUUCUAACUUAAAUAUUAAAUGUAUUAAAUCAUUUUUAUUUCA